AGAUAUAACGUCCCUGCCCGUGCUUACUGGUCCACUAGUAGCACCUGGGAACCGCAUACUGUGGUACAGCCACCGUCAUAAGAUUUUUAAGUCUUUGUCUCCACCAGACAGAAUGACAGCAUUUCAAAGGCCAGGAAUUUUAAAAUGCUGGUAUUCAGGGCCAGGGAUCGCUGGUGGGUAGGGGGGUACUUCCUUUUUCUCUCCAGUGUUUGGGGGAUGGACAGCUG
This is a long non-coding RNA of Bufo bufo (common toad), 227 nucleotides long. RefSeq lists it as uncharacterized. The record is from RefSeq and is a predicted model, not a curated record. Lineage: Eukaryota; Metazoa; Chordata; Amphibia; Anura; Bufonidae. The transcript has 3 exons.